GUGAGGAAUAUUGGUCAAUGGGCGAGAGCCUGAACCAGCCAAGUCGCGUGAAGGAAGAAGGAUCUAUGGUUCGUAAACUUCUUUUGCAGGGGAAUAAAGUGCGGGACGUGUCCUGUUUUGUAUGUACCCUGAGAAUAAGGAUCGGCUAACUCCGUGCCAGCAGCCGCGGUAAUACGGAGGAUCCGAGCGUUAUCCGGAUUUAUUGGGUUUAAAGGGUGCGUAGGUGGUUUGAUAAGUCAGCGGUGAAAGUUUGCAGCUUAACUGUAAAAAUGCCGUUGAAACUGUCGGACUUGAGUGUAAAUGAGGUAGGCGGAAUGCGUGGUGUAGCGGUGAAAUGCAUAGAUAUCACGCAGAACUCCGAUUGCGAAGGCAGGUUACUACUUGUGGAUUGACGCUGAUGCACGAAAGCAUGGGGAGCAAACAGGAUUAGAUACCCUAGUAGUCC
RNAcentral lists this ribosomal RNA (445 nucleotides) under uncultured bacterium. Its description in RNAcentral is "partial 16S ribosomal RNA". It matches the Rfam family "Bacterial small subunit ribosomal RNA", at positions 354 to 796 of the family's 1533-position model. The record is from RNAcentral.